GCAUUUUUGUCUUCUCCCCCGCUCCCUAAUUCUGUUGAAGUGAUGUACCACAUGUGACUGGGGCCGUGUUAGAAAACACGAUCCAUCCCAUGUAAAUCAUGAACCGUCGAACAAAAGUCCUGUUUGUAAAUCUGAGCAUUGGCAGCCAGCUUUUGAAGCUCUCCCAUUUGAAAACAGAUCUGUGAUGCUUUGAGCAAGCAAAGAAAUGCAGUGGGACUCGGCCAGGAUCCCUGGACUUUGCCAAGUUUCUGCUCAAACUCUCUCUGCCUGCAUAAACGAGGAGUUAAACUGGAGUAACAACCUCCAAAUUGGGCUUGACACAAAAAGCAGCAAAACCUAGCUCCAGAGAAAACUGCUCAAAGAAAAUUGCUCUGCCAUAGACUGACCAGUUUCUCAUACUUCUAAAAUAAUUCCAGUUGAUUGGCCCCUCCUGAGAACAGACAACAAGUGAAAUCCCACAACUAAACUGAAUAUCACUCACUUAUUAUUCAGCUUUUGACAUCAGCCCAUUAAGCCUCUUUGUUCACAUGCAAAGACAGAAAAAGGCUUCUGAGGCUGAGAGCCAAAAUACCAAAUCCUGAGAUAGCUGGACAUCUAAGGAAACUGUACUUUUAUGAAGUGAUCUGAGA
RNAcentral lists this long non-coding RNA (629 nucleotides) under Gallus gallus (chicken). Its description in RNAcentral is "long non-coding RNA NONGGAT003242". Lineage: Eukaryota; Metazoa; Chordata; Aves; Galliformes; Phasianidae. The record is from RNAcentral.